AGCGUGAAAUUCCUCCCUUUGGCUCCAGGGGCUGGUGGGGCUGGAAACCCCAGAGGGAUGCCUUAUGGCCUCAUUGUUACAAUAGGCACCGGCGUGUCUGCUGACCUCAGCUACACAAAGCCCUCUCUCCUCCAAGGCUCCUCCAGAGAGGGCUGCUGACGCUUGGUCCACUGCCGGCCAGCUUUUGCCAAGAGACCGCAGCAAACCCAUCCUGGUGUUCUCUUUACCAGAAGAUGUGUGCUCCCCAAACACGAACAGACUUCAGCACGGGAGAUAUAGCUAAGGCAAAUCAUAGCCAACACUUACACAGAGUGACAACUCCCAUCGUGGGAUCUGGGCACCUCGAAACCUCAUGGCUACCAAGUCCUUACUAAUGCUUUCUGGGAGACAACAAGAAAGUGAUCUUUGGAGACCGGGGUACCAGCCUCAGCCGCACCUCUAGCUGUGUGCAAAUGAUUUCACCUCUUUGUCCCUCAGUCCUUCAUGUGUAAAAUGAGCCUAUCUCACCGGGUUGUCAAGAGGAUUAAACGAGCAGAUUUGGGGGAAGUGCCCGGCUCGUGGGACACUGGCACGAGCGGGGGACACCACUUAGAAGCACGGCCUGGUGGGGAGGCCAGCAAGGGCCCGAGCGGCACAGCGAUGCUUCGGAGGGACGCCGAACGGUUCUUGGGAGUGGAAACUGCCAGGGCUAAGCUUGAAGCUCUGAAAGCACUCAGCUCUCGGGAGUUCAAGAACUUUUGAUGGGUUCCAAGGGGACAGCACACGGGAGCUGGCAGGAGCUCCACAAACCAUCUGAUGGUCUGUGAGGCCGCUGCCCUGGCUCCCCGGGUCCUAUUUCUUCUUCCCCCCAGGCUGCCAGCUCAGGGACCUCCAUCCAACUCCUCUUUAUUUGCCUGUUAUCGGGGGCCCGUGACUUGAAACAAGCCACCUCUGUGUGUCCCCUUUGAUCCUGCCCCCUCGGCCGGCGGGCUCUAGUUUGCUGAAGUGGCCACUGAUGACUAUCAGGUAAAAGCUGAAGUCCCAGGAGUGGCACCCCCACAGAGCGACAGGAGCUCAAGGGCAGACUUGGCAUCGUGGACUCACUAUCAUCCUUUCUGACUCCUCCGACCCUGGCUGGUGACACACAAGACUCCCAAACAGACACGGUCCCUAUCUCCCAGGCUCCGAAGGUACAUAUUCCUAAUCAGUUACUUUUAAUAGCCUUGAAGAUACCCCAGCCACAUCCUGUUGCAAACAGCCACGGGGUGUCUGGGAGGUCAGCGGCCUCCCGCCCGCUCCGAGCUGCUCUGCUGUGCUCUGGAUGCUUCUCCUGCGGGCGCCGUGAGGCGAGGGGCCCUCCUUACACGCCUCUCCUCUCGGCUGCCGUCUAACCAGGCCUCGUCCCUCAGUACUUUUCCUCUUUCCUUCGUAGAAGUCAUGCAGUCUGCUUCCGCUGCCUGUGUGCGAACCCUUCAGGACUGGGCUGUCUUUUUAUAAAGAGUUUCCUAGAAAUAUCUCAGCUCUGGGACCUUCUUUUUUCAGGUUAAAAGGGAAGAAUUCUGGAAAGGUGGUGUAUUUUUUUUUUUUUUGGUCCAUAUUCUUUCACUUGUCUAAUUUAAAUAACUUAAAGAACAUAUUUCUCAUUAUAGGGAUAAGAAUACAAUUACCUUGACCACAGCCAUUUGCUUGCUUGCUUUUUUUUUUUUUAAAAAGAAAACAAACAUAACCUGCACACCAUCUGUGAUAUUAUUCCUUGAUAUU
Long non-coding RNA from Canis lupus familiaris (dog), 1740 nucleotides. RefSeq lists it as uncharacterized. The transcript is spliced from 3 exons. The record is from RefSeq and is a predicted model, not a curated record. NCBI's taxonomy places the organism in Eukaryota, Metazoa, Chordata, Mammalia, Carnivora, Canidae.